UACGGGGGGAGCAAGCGUUGUUCGGAUUUACUGGGCGUAAAGGGCGCGUAGGCGGCCACCGCAAGUCGACUGUGAAAUCUCCGGGCUUAACCCGGAAAGGUCAGCCGAUACUGCGGGGCUAGAGUGCAGAAGGGGCAACUGGAAUUCUCGGUGUAGCGGUGAAAUGCGUAGAUAUCGGGAGGAACACCAGUAGCGAAGGCGGCUCGCUGGGCCAUUCCUGACGCUGAGACGCGAAAGCUAGGGGAGCGAACAGG
Molecule: ribosomal RNA, 254 nt
Filed under: uncultured bacterium
Lineage: Bacteria
Description: partial 16S ribosomal RNA
Rfam family: Bacterial small subunit ribosomal RNA
Source: RNAcentral